GGGGACCGCAUGUACCAGGAAUGGGUAUGGGAAGCCUUCGAUGCCAUUCGCAAGAGUUGUCGUACGGGCUCCGGCUUCAGCUCGAUUAGCAACGUAAAUGAUCCGACUGGUGGCAGGAAGCUGGAUUUCCAAGAGAGCUUCCUUUUCGCUGAGGUGUUGAAAUAUGCUUACUUGACGUUUGCUCCGGAAGAAAAUUGGCAAGUAGUUGGUGA
RNAcentral lists this small RNA (212 nucleotides) under Histoplasma capsulatum var. duboisii H88. RNAcentral describes it as "Histoplasma capsulatum H88 hypothetical RNA". The record is from RNAcentral. Lineage: Eukaryota; Fungi; Ascomycota; Eurotiomycetes; Onygenales; Ajellomycetaceae.